UACAGAGGGUGCAAGCGUUAAUCGGAGUUACUGGGCGUAAAGGGCGCGUAGGCGGUUAUUUAAGUUUGAUGUGAAAUCCCUGGGCUUAACCUAGGAACUGCAUUGAAUACUGGGUAACUGGAGUACUGUAGAGGGUAGUGGAAUUUCCGGUGUAGCGGUGAAAUGCGUAGAGAUCGGAAGGAACACCAGUGGCGAAGGCGGCUACCUGGACAGAUACUGACGCUGAGGCGCGAGAGCGUGGGGAGCAAAC
This 250-nucleotide ribosomal RNA is filed under the name uncultured bacterium. RNAcentral describes it as "partial 16S ribosomal RNA". It matches the Rfam family "Bacterial small subunit ribosomal RNA", at positions 524 to 773 of the family's 1533-position model. The record is from RNAcentral.